This 811-nucleotide ribosomal RNA is filed under the name Felipes leucopellaeus. Its description in RNAcentral is "mitochondrial SSU rRNA". It matches the Rfam family "Bacterial small subunit ribosomal RNA", at positions 362 to 1202 of the family's 1533-position model. Lineage: Eukaryota; Fungi; Ascomycota; Arthoniomycetes; Arthoniales. The record is from RNAcentral.
UAUUGGUCAAUAGCCUAACGGCUGAACCAGCAAUUUGCAAUAAUGGGGAUAGGUAUUUCUAAUGAGACCUGCAGCUGAUACUGCCUAGAUCCAGUGGUUUAUCCACAAGAAGUUAUGGGUAUAAUAAAGAUAAUGACUAUUUUAUGCUCAUUAGGUCUCGACAAAAUCACGUGCCAGCAGUCGCGGUAAUACGGGAGAGACUAGUGUUAUUCAUCUUUAAUAGGUUUAAAGGGUACCUAGACAGUUAAUUUAGCUCCAACCAUAGAGUACAAAUUAUACUAGAGUUUUAUGUAAGAGAAUAAGUUUAGUACUAAUAGAGUAGAGAUGAAAUUUUUUGAUACUAUUAUGAACUGGUAACGGCGAAAGCAAAUCUCCAUGUAAAAACUGACGUUGAGGGACGAAGGCAUUGGUAACAAACAGGAUUAGAUACCCUAAUAGUCUUUGCAGUCAAUGAUGAGUGCCAUAGUUAAAAAUUUUUUAUCUAUAAAUGAAAGUGUAAGCACUCCACCUCAAGAGUAAUGUGGCAACGCAGGAACUGAAAUCAUUAGACCGUUUCUGAAACCAGUAGUGAAGUAUGUUGUUUAAUUUGAUGGUCCGCAAAAAACCUUACCACAGUUUGGAUAUAUUUAGUGGUAUUAUUACUAAUAUUGCUAUUUAUACAAGUGUUGCAUGGCUGUCUUUAGCUAAUGUCGUGAGACGCAGGUUAGAUCCAUUAAAAUAGCGAAAUCCCAUGCUUUAUUCUUUUUUUAUAAGGCAGUUCUCCGGUACAUCGGAUAAGAUAACAGGGAUUAAGACAAGUAAUCAUGACCUU